This 465-nucleotide ribosomal RNA is filed under the name uncultured bacterium. RNAcentral's name for it is "partial 16S ribosomal RNA". It matches the Rfam family "Bacterial small subunit ribosomal RNA", at positions 338 to 795 of the family's 1533-position model. The record is from RNAcentral.
CCUACGGGAGGCAGCAGUGGGGAAUUUUGGACAAUGGGCGCAAGCCUGAUCCAGCUAUUCCGCGUGUGGGAUGACGGCCUUCGGGUUGUAAACCACUUUUGUAGAGAACGAAAAGUCUGUUGAUAAUACCGAUAGAUGAUGACGGUACUCUAAGAAUAAGCACCGGCUAAAUACGUGCCAGCAGCCGCGGUAAUACGUUGGGUGCGAGCGUUAAUUGGAAUUACUGGGCGUAAUGGGUGUGCAGGCGGGUAUGCAAGAUGUAUGGGAAAGCCCCGGGCUUAACCUGGGAAAGCCAUACAUGACUGCAAGACUAGAGUGCGUCAGAGGGAGGUGGAAUUCCAAGUGUAGCAGUGAAAUGCGUAGAUAUUUGGAAGAACACCGAUGGCGAAGGCAGCCCCCUGGGACGCAACUGACGCUCAUACACGAAAGCGUGGGGAGCAAACAGGAUUAGAUACCCGAGUAGUC